AGUAGAGAAGGUAGGCAGUGCUUGCAAAGGCCUGAGUCUGAGGUACUUCUUUAUAGCACUGCAAGAAUGGACUAAUACGCUAUGUGAAGACAAAGGGGAUGUCUGCAAGCCAGGACGAGUGCGUCUACCAGAAACUGAGUUCUGCUGGACUUUGAUCUAGGACAUCCAGCCUCCAGAAUGGAAUGUGCCAUAUGUGGAGACCUGCAUGGAAAGGAACUGAGGAUGCUCUCUCACUAAAAGCUAGAAGGAACUGAGGCCCUCAGUCAACAGUCUACAAGACACUGAAUCUUGCCAGCAGCCAAGCAAUGGAGAGAGGGGAACCCGAGUCAAGGAAUGCAAAUGGCCUCUGGAAGCUGGAAAAAGCAAGAAAUGGAUUCUCCUUUAGAGCCUGUGGAAUAAAAUGCAGUCAUGCUGACACCUUGAUUUUACCUCAGUGAGACCAAUACUGGAGUAUGACCUUCGGAGCUGAAUAAAAUUAUACGUACACAUCUUAAUUUCUUGGGAUUUGAUUACUUCUUCUGCUUUGAAAUUAGACCAAGUUUAGCCUGCCUUUGCUAUUUUGGCGUAUCUCCAAUUCUUCAUGAUUUUCUCAUAGAUGGGGUUGCACUAUGCUGCCUGAGCUGGUCUGGAACUCCUGGGCUGUAAUGAUCCUCUGGCCUCCUCAGCCUCCCAAAAUGUUGGGAUUACAGCGCAAAGGCCACAUAAGGACAGUGAGAAGGCAGCCACCUGCAAGCCAGGAAGAAAGGUCUCACCAGAUACCAACCCUGCCAGCAUGUUGAUCUUGGACUUCCAGCCUCCAAAACUGGCCUUCUGCUCACAUGGGCUUCCGUGCACCUGCUUCAGGAGACAGCAACACUUGCGCCCGCACCGCGGCAGGCUCCCAUCACCUGGUGGAUAUGCCGCGCCGAGUCUCAUCACACCUUAGUGAAGGAACACAUGGACCCAUAUGUUAGCGGAUGUAUUUACAUCGUUUUAUACAGAAAGGGGAAGUAUGUUUCACAAUAAAUGUUUGCAUACUUUGGAGCACAUCUUUUUUUUCUUUCAGACAGAAAGAAAGAGACAAAAAGAGCGGGAGAAACUUUGGCUGGAGCCAUUGAUUCUUUAUUCCCUUACAAUGUUUUUAUCACCCAACCUUGAAAAUAGUCUGUGUGUCAGCUGGGCAGGAUCUGUGCUGAGGCUUGCGUCCCUGGGGGCAAAAAAAGGGUAGUGACUUUUAGUUGAAAGAGUCAGGAAGGGAAGAGUCAAUAGUUCAGCGGUAAGUAUUCUGAACCCAGGCAGGGAAACCAAAAUUCAGGGAUACCUGAAGCCCUCAAGCUAAGGGCCAGGAGCUAGGAGCUGAAAGGAUACAGGAGCUAUGUCAUAAAUAAUUUAGGAGGUGGCUAGAUGAUUGCCAGAGUGUCCACAGCAUGCUUUACUUGGCUUUUAUGGAUACAAUGUGCAUAGGUUGCUUUUAGGAACAAUAAAGAAAUGUUUAUUAAACUAAUUAUGAUUCAAUAAUAUUGACAAUAAUGACAAUGUUGAUAGUAUGCAAUAUAAUAAACUGGUGUGCUUUUAUUUCUCCCUUUUCCUGUGCACAUCUGUUUUACUCUGUGACAUUUUUCCAUUUAGACUCAGAAAUAAGAAACCAGUAUUGCUGCAAAGGUAGGCUGUCACUGGAGGAAAUGAAGAUUAAAAAUUAAAAAAUCAAAUUAUAAUUUUUAUAUUUUAAAAAAACAGCUUAGGUGUAACAGAGAAAUACUUGGAAGACGUUAGAGUAUGAGACAAGGAAAAAUUUGCUCCAAACCUCCUCCCGCAUAAUCACCUCUAAUAAACAAAUAUCCUAGACAAAUAUAAUUUUCCAAGCUAGGGGAAAAAAAGAACAGUUGGAGAAUAUAAUGUACAAAAGUUAAUCACCAAAUAAGGCCUGCCCUAUUCCUCUUUCUCCUCCAGCCAUUAUAAGGAACAGGAACCAUAGAAUUCUCUGGUAAAUAUGGAAUCUAGGAGUAGAAGAAACCCAUGCUUAUAUCUUGCCCAUAACUCAGAAAGAAAGCAGAUUCACAGAUGGUGCCCACACCCCAAAGUCAUGGGGAUUGUAGAGUGCAGAAUUAUUCCCCAAGUUCUGUCCUGGUUCUUUAAAUAUAUUUUCAGGAAUCAAUCCUGUACU
This is a long non-coding RNA of Homo sapiens (human), 2143 nucleotides long. Ensembl annotates it as long intergenic non-protein coding RNA 1748. The record is from Ensembl. Lineage: Eukaryota; Metazoa; Chordata; Mammalia; Primates; Hominidae.